UACGGAGGAUGCGAGCGUUAUCCGGAUUUAUUGGGUUUUAAGGGUGCGUAGGCGGAUUUUUAAGUCAGCGGUAAAAUGUCCGGGCUCAACCCGGGCCGGCCGUUGAAACUGGGGAUCUUGAGUGGGCGAGAAGUAUGCGGAAUGCGUGGUGUAGCGGUGAAAUGCAUAGAUAUCACGCAGAACUCCGAUUGCGAAGGCAGCAUACCGGCGCCCGACUGACGUUGAGGCACGAAAGCGUGGGGAUCGAACAGG
RNAcentral lists this ribosomal RNA (252 nucleotides) under uncultured bacterium. RNAcentral's name for it is "partial 16S ribosomal RNA". It matches the Rfam family "Bacterial small subunit ribosomal RNA", at positions 524 to 776 of the family's 1533-position model. The record is from RNAcentral.